RNAcentral lists this ribosomal RNA (475 nucleotides) under uncultured bacterium. RNAcentral describes it as "bacterial SSU rRNA". It matches the Rfam family "Bacterial small subunit ribosomal RNA", at positions 335 to 800 of the family's 1533-position model. The record is from RNAcentral.
ACUCCUACGGGAGGCAGCAGUGGGGAAUAUUGCACAAUGGGCGCAAGCCUGAUGCAGCCAUGCCGCGUGUAUGAAGAAGGCCUUCGGGUUGUAAAGUACUUUCAGCAGUGAGGAAGGUAGUGUAGUUAAUAGCUGCAUUAUUUGACGUUAGCUGCAGAAGAAGCACCGGCUAACUCCGUGCCAGCAGCCGCGGUAAUACGGAGGAUCCAAGCGUUAUCCGGAAUCAUUGGGUUUAAAGGGUCCGUAGGUGGAUGAUUAAGUCAGAGGUGAAAUCCUGCAGCUCAACUGUAGAAUUGCCUUUGAUACUGGUUGUCUUGAAUUAUUGUGAAGUAGUUAGAAUAUGUGGUGUAGCGGUGAAAAUGCAUAGAUAUCACAUAGAAUACCGAUUGCGAAGGCAGAUUACUAACAAUACAUUGACACUGAUGGACGAAAGCGUGGGGAGCGAACAGGAUUAGAUACCCUGGUAGGAUAGCGU